GAUGAACGCUGGCGGCGUGCCUAAUACAUGCAAGUCGAGCGAACAGAUGAGGAGCUUGCUCCUCUGACGUUAGCGGCGGACGGGUGAGUAACACGUGGAUAACCUACCUAUAAGACUGGGAUAACUUCGGGAAACCGGAGCUAAUACCGGAUAAUAUAUUGAACCGCAUGGUUCAAUAGUGAAAGACGGUUUUGCAGUCACUUAUAGAUGGAUCCGCGCCGCAUUAGCUAGUUGGUAAGGUAACGGCUUACCAAGGCAACGAUGCGUAGCCGACCUGAGAGGGUGAUCGGCCACACUGGAACUGAGACACGGUCCAGACUCCUACGGGAGGCAGCAGUAGGGAAUCUUCCGCAAUGGGCGAAAGCUUGGCGGAGCAACGCCGCGUGAGUGAUGAAGGUCUUCGGAUCGUAAAACUCUGUUAUUAGGGAAGAACAAAUGUGUAAGUAACUAUGCACGUCUUGACGGUACCUAAUCAGAAAGCCACGGCUAACUACGUG
RNAcentral lists this ribosomal RNA (497 nucleotides) under uncultured bacterium. Its description in RNAcentral is "partial 16S ribosomal RNA". It matches the Rfam family "Bacterial small subunit ribosomal RNA", at positions 28 to 507 of the family's 1533-position model. The record is from RNAcentral.